UAUAUAUAUAUGUAAUCAUAGGCUUAGAAUUUACAAAGCUAUUUUUAAACUUAAUUGUUAAAGCUAUUAUGAUAAGAGGUAUGGUAGAAGAGAAAAUGUAAUACGCCCAUGGAGAUACAACUAAAACAAAAAGAAAAAGAUAAUCUAAAUAAUAUGCAUUGUUGUCUUAUUUAAUUAUCAUCAUUUUACAAUACAAUGAUAAUCUAAGUAUAUGCAUUGUUGUAUAUACUUUCUUAGGUCUAGCACCAAAUGAAGGAUUUCAUAUGAGCACAUAAUAUUUUUCAUUUUUCCCACCGGCCGCACCUUAGUGGAAUGCAUCUACACAAUCCACCCACACACUUUGGUAUUUGAUAAACCUUGCACAUGUUACGUGGACAAUUACCAUCAAUAAAACAUGGAUAAAACUCUCUAAUAAAGAAAUAGAAUGGAAUUUGUUUACGUUUGAAGUUUGUUGCAACCAUAAAUUCGGAAAGAAAGAUAAUCAUACCACAAACAAAAUUGACAAUUGUAGUCAUGUUUCCCUCCUUUUUUUUUUUGUAAUAAAUGUAACUUUAUAAUUUCUAAUGCUCAUUUUUCGCUUAAAUCAAAUAAAUAGUUAUUUUCUCUUAUGAAGUUGUAAAAAAUUAUUCUUAAUAUUAUAAUUAUUACAAUAUGUUCCUUAAGUACAUCAAUGUGUCAUAUUUGUCCCUUUAGCAUAACAAAAAGAUAUGUCACAAUUUUUUUUUAUUCUUAAUAUUUUAAUUAUUACAAAAUAUCUAUUAAGUACAUUUGAUCUCUUCGAGAACAUAUCUUAUAGGUGACAUGGUUGUGGUGCUCCUGCAGCAGAGGUACCACACUUAUAUGGACGAUUUGAAUGCAACCAUUCCCCCAUGAAAUAGUUGGGUUAAGGAAGACGUUAGAUGUCAGGUCAACGGAAGAGAUCGGUUUCGGGAAAAGUUUUCGUGUGGUUAGUGAUGAUAUGUCAUCUUACGUUAUUUUCAACAUGUUUUUCGGUCAUUUUAGGAAUCAAUAAAGAUGGGUUUUAGAGAAGUAUCACAUGGUUAAAGUCACAUUUUGUAAUGUAUUCAAAUCGAGUUAUGUAAUUAUGUUUCUCCUCUAAACAAGACAAUUAACCAAAAGAGAAGACUUUGAUCCUCCCCCUUGGCUUAUAAAAGGCUUUCAAGAUGUUGUCAAUUAUUAUGACCUUUGCAACCUUCCCCUUGAUGGAUACCAAUGUACUUGGUUUAAUAGUAUGUGUAGAAGUUCUUCUAAAGAGGCUAGACUUUAUAAUGGUUUUUGCACUACCUCGUACCAGAAAAUCUACCCUCCAAACUUGAUCUUGCUCACGUUGUAAAGAUCACCUUUUUAAGAUCACCGGGUUGAGUAAUGACCAGAUCACCUUUUUUAAGCAGACUUAAUUGUUGGAACAAAAUGUGUUUCACAAUAAACCUUAAUAAGUUUUGAUGAUAACAAGGUAUUAAAAAUUGUCAAUUGGUUAUUGCUAAUGAUUGUUCAAGUGUACAGGACCAUAUGCAAAGUCACUCAAUUUCAAUAGGUCUUGGAAGAACAAUGGAGAGCAAAAGAAUCCUAAGCAUCUGAAGAAAACUGCGUCUGAAGCCAAGAAAUGCUUUUGAAGUGACAAAGUGCCUUUGAAGAAAUGACGUCAUCAGAAGCAGAAGAUCAUCAGAAGCAGAAGACCAUCAUAAGCACAAUUUCAUCAGAAGCUAUAUCAUCACCAUAAGCUUCAAGUGAACAGUUAAUUUAAACUGAAGAUUCAAAGAAGCUGUUUUUCGUUUCAACCUCGUCUAAGAGAACGAAGAAUUGAAAGGGAGGUAUCAACGGUCAUUUUAAAAGCACUGAGUAUUUGUCCUUCAUUAUCAGAGUUGACAAAGUACAAGUGUACAACCACUACCUCCACUACUCUGUUUUUGUCUACGCUACAAGACAAGACAACAGCCAUGCCUGCAGAAAUGUUCCUUCAAGAUGGGAAUGAAUUUGAAGUCGAUUCUUCAAAGGACUACACCCAAAUCAGGCAAAAGAUUACUGGUGGAUGAUCAAAGGAACUCAACGACUCUUUAGACGUGCUAAAAAUAUCAACGUCUCUUUCACACCUCUAUAUAAAGGAGUGAGGACUUGAAGAUUGGCAAGAGACAUCAAUACAAGUUAAAAGCGCCAAAACUCUGCCAAAUUUGAUUCUACAAAGCACCUUGAAUUUCUGCACUGAUUUGAUACAUCUUAGAAAUUCACAAGUCUAGAGUCUUUAUUGCAUUGUAUUGAGAAAACCACUGAUUGUAUAUCAAGUGUUCAUCAUCAAACAUUUUCUCUGUAUUUUUGUUUGAAUAGAAGCCUCUUGCCUGCGUGCUUGAGCAUUAGUAGACUCUUGCUUUAGUGCUUGAGCAUUGGAAAACUCUUGCCUGCGUGCUUGAGCAUUUUGAGAAGUCUCAUACUUAGAGAGUAUUGAGCAUUUGUAAUCUUUGUGAUUAUUAGUGAAAUCUCCUUGGAAGUGCAAGGGGGACUGGACUACUUCCGAUUUGUGGAAGGAACCAAAAUAAUUGCUUGUGUCUUUCUUUCUUUUCUCUGCUCUGUUUUAUUCCGCUGCAUAUCUGAUUCUGAACAUUACAUCAGAAGCACUCCUAACCUGCUUCUGAAGUAUUAUCAGAAGAAGAAUUUUUAGAGAAAAAGAAAACACAAUUCAACCCCCCCUUCUUGUGUUUUUCUCACCUUCAAUUGGUAUAAGAGCUUGUUCUGUUAUCAAAGCACUUAACCGUGUGACAGAUCAAGAUCCAAGAAAAACAUGUCUGCUGAAGAGGAAUCCACUCCAAAAUACAAUAGUGUCAAACAUGAGAAUGAUACUGCUGACAAGAAAUCAGAUUCUGGAAAAGCUCCAAAGUUCAGUGGAGAUCCAGAAGAGUUUUCAUGGUGGAAAACCAACAUGUACAGCUACAUCAUGGGAUUGGAUGAGGAGCUAUGGGAUAUUCUUGAAGAUGGAGUUGAUGAUUUGGAUUUGGAUGAAGAAUGAGCUGUUAUUGACAGAAGGAUACACACUCCUGCUCAGAAGAAACUCUACAAAAAGCAUCACAAGAUCAGAGGGAUCAUUGUUGCUUCUAUACCUCGCACUGAAUAUAUGAAGAUGAGUGAUAAAUCCACUGCUAAGGCAAUGUUUGCAUCACUCUGUGCUAACUACGAAGGUAGCAAGAAGGUUAAAGAAGCAAAGGCAUUAAUGCUAGUUCAUCAGUAUGAGCUGUUCAAAAUGAAGGAUGAUGAGAGUAUAGAGCAGAUGUACUCAAGAUUUCAAACUUUAGUAUCUGGACUGCAAAUACUGAAGAAGAGCUAUGUUGCUUCUGAUCAUGUUAGCAAGAUUCUGAGAAGCUUGCCUUCUAGAUGGAGACCCAAAGUAACUGCCAUUGAGGAAGCUAAGGAUCUAAACACUUUAAGUGUUGAAGAUCUUGUCAGUUCCCUCAAGGUACAUGAAAUGAGUCUUAAUGAGCAUGAAUCCUCUAAGAAGAAUAAAUCUAUUGCUCUACCAUCUAAAGGAAAGUCUUCUAAGUCUUUCAAAGCUUACAAGGCCAGUGAAUCUGAAGAAGAAUCACCAGAUGGAGAUUCUGAUGAAGAUCAAUCUGUGAAGAUGGCUAUGCUGUCUAACAAGCUUGAAUAUCUAGCAAGGAAGCAGAAGAAGUUUUUGAGCAAGAGAGGUGGUUACAAGAACUCCAAGAAAGAAGAUAAAAAGGGAUGCUUCAACUGUAAGAAGCCUGGACAUUUCAUUGCUGAUUGCCCUGAUCUUCAGAAGGAGAAGUCAAAGAGCAGACCUAAGAAACCAAGUUUCAGCUCUAGCAAAUUCAGAAAGCAAAUCAAAAAGAGUUUGAUGGCGACCUGGGAAGAUCUGGAUAGUGAAUCUGGUUCUGAUAAAGAAGAAGCAGAUGAUGAUACAUAAGCAGCCAUGGGGUUAGUGGCAACAGUAUCAUCAGAAGCAGUAUCAGAAGCUGAAUCAGAUUCAGAAGAUGAAAAUGAGGUCUAUUCCAAAAUUCCCAGACAAGAACUUGUUGAUUCUCUUAAAGAACUUUUAUCACUAUUUGAACACAGAACCAAUGAGUUGUCUGAUUUAAAAGAAAAAUAUGUUGAUUUAAUGAAACAACAAGAAACAACUCUAUUGGAACUGAAAGCUUCUGAAGAAGAACUCAAAGGGUUUAACUUCAUAUCAAACACAUAUGAAGACAGACUCAAGAUUCUUUGUCAUAAGCUACAAGAAAAAUGUGAUAAAGGUUCUGGCAAUAAACAUGAAAUUGCCUUGGAUUAUUUUAUAAUGGCUGGCAUAGACAGAAGCAAAGUAGCUUCUAUGAUCUACAACAUAUACAAAAACAAUGGCAAAGGGAUUGGAUAUUCUGAGGAGAAAUCCAAAGAGUACAGUCUAAAGAGCUAUUGUGAUUGUAUUAAGGAUGGAUUGAAAUCCACCUUUGUGCCUGAGGGUACUGAUGUUGUAACUACUGUUCAGUCAGAACCUGAAGCUUCUGGUUCUAAGGCUAAGAUUACAUCAAAGCCAGAAAACCUUAAGUCUAAGGUUAUGACAAAAUCUGAUCCUAAGACUACAAAGAUCAAAAUUCUGAAAAGAUCAGAACCUGUUCCUUAGAGUCUGAUUAAACCAGAAUCUAGAAUUCUAAAGUCAAAGAAUCAGAAGAACAAAACAGUUACUGCUUUUGAGAAAACAAUACCAGAAGGUGUUAAACCUAAAGUAUUGAAUGAUCAGAAGCUACUUAGCACUCAACCCAAGAUACAAGGGAGCAAAAUUAAAACCUCCAGAACUAACCCAAAAGGACCCAUGAAGAUAUGGGUACCUAAAUCUGAAUUGAUAAAAAAUGUAGGUAUGCCUAAGGGCAAGAGAGAAACAAAGGUCCUGGUACCUAGACAGCGGGUGUUCAAGACAUAUGACAGGAGAGAAAGCUUUGUUCCUUACCCUUACCAUGAAAGAUGGAGGAGAAGUGAAGUUUGGUGGCAACCAAACUGGAAAAAUCAUUGGUACAAGUACUAUUGGUAAUUCCUCCAUUUCAAUAAAUAAUGUUUGGCUUGUAGAUGGUCUGAAGCAUAACUUAUUGAGCAUCAGUCAAUUUUGUGACAAUGGGUAUGAUGUUAUGUUUAGUAAGACCAACUGCACACUAGUCAACAAGGAUGACAAAUCCAUUACCUUUAAGGGAAAGAGAGUUGAGAAUGUCUAUAAGAUUAAUUUCUCUGAUCUGGCUGAUUAGAAAGUAGUUUGCCUUCUGUCAAUGAAUGAUAAAAAGUGGGUAUGGCAUAGAAGGUUGGGACAUGCUAAUUGGAGAUUAAUUUCUAAAAUCAGCAAGUUACAACUUGUCAAAGGGUUGCCUAACAUUGAUUAUCAUUCAGAUGCACUAUGUGGUGCAUGUCAGAAAGGAAAAAUUGUUAAAAGUAAAGAUUAUGCAUGUGAAGUGUUUAGCAGCUUCUGCAUUCAAAUACAAUCUGAAAAAGAAAUGAAAAUUUUGAAAGUCAGAAGUGAUCAUGGUGGAGAAUUUGAAAACGAGCCAUUUGAAUCUUUUUGUGAAAAACAUGGGAUUCUCCAUGAAUUCUCUUCUCCUAGAACUCCAUAAAAAAAUGGGGUUGUAGAGAGAAAGAACAGAACUUUACAAGAAAUGGCCAGAACCAUGAUCCAUGAAAAUAAUUUAGAUAAACAUUUAUGGGCAGAAGUAGUUAAUACUUCAUGUUAUAUUCAAAAUAGGAUCUAUAUCAGACCUAUGUUGGAGAAAACAGCAUAUGAACUCUUCAAAGGAAGAAGACCCAAUAUCUCUUACUUUCAUCAGUUUGGAUGUACUUGUUACAUUCUAAACACUAAACACUAUCUAAAGAAAUUUGAUGCCAAGGCUCAAAGAGGAAUCUUUUUAGGUUACUCUGAAAGGUCAAAUGCAUACAGAGUGUAUAAUUCAGAAACACAUUGUGUUGAAGAAUCUAUGCAUGUUAAAUUUGAUGAUAGAGAGCCUGGAAGUAAAACUCCAGAGCAAGUUGAAAGUAAUGCAGGUACAAAUGAUUCAGAAGAUGCAUCAGAAUCUGAACAAACUUCUGAUACUGAAAAGAAUUCAGAAGCAGAAUCAAGUCCAGAAGCUGAACCUAAUCCAGAAGUUGAGUCAAGUUCAGAAGCUGAACCUAAUCCAGAAGCACAGAAUGAAAAUGCUUCUGAGGAUAUUCAAGAUAACACUCAACACGUGAUUCAAUCGAAAUUCAAGCAUAAAUCUUCACAUCCUGAGGAGCUAAUCAUUGGAAGCAAAGACAGUCCUAGAAGAACAAGAUCUCAUUUCAGACAAGAAGAAUCUUUGAUAGGAUUGAUGUCCAUAAUUGAGCCAAAAACUGCUGAAGAAGCUUUAUCAGAUGAUGGAUGGAUAUUAGCUAUGCAAGAAGAGCUAAAUCAGUUCCAAAGGAAUGAUGUGUGGGAUCUGGUACCCAAACCUAACCAGAAGAACAUUAUUUGAACAAAAUGGGUAUUCAAAAACAAGCUGAAUGAACAAGGAGAGGUAACCAGAAACAAAGCUAGACUUGUUGCACAAGGUUACAGUCAACAAGAAGGCAUUGAUUACACUGAAACAUUUGCUCCAGUUGCAAGAUUGGAAGCAAUCAGGUUACUUCUAUCCUAUGCAGUUAAUCAUGGCAUAAUAUUAUAUCAAAUGGAUGUCAAGAGUGCUUUUCUUAAUGGUGUCAUUGAAGAAGAAGUGUAUGUCAAACAACCUCCUGGAUUUGAGGAUUUUAAGCAUCCUGAUCAUGUUUACAAACUUAAAAAAUCACUAUAUGGCUUGAAACAAUCUCCCAGAGCUUGGUAUGAUAGACUAAGUAAUUUCUUAAUUAAAAAUGAUUUUAAAAGAGGUCAAGUUGACAUAACACUCUUCAGAAGGACUCUUAAGAAAGACAUUCUGAUUGUGCAAAUAUAUGUUGAUGAUAUAAUAUUUGGUUCUACUAAUGCAUCUCUUUGCAAGAAAUUUUCUAAGUUAAUGCAGGAUGAAUUUGAAAUGAGCAUGAUGGGAGAAUUAAAAUUCUUUCUUGGAAUUCAAAUUAAUCAAAGCAAAGAAGGAGUAUAUGUUCAUCAAACAAAAUAUACAAAAGAGCUUCUGAAGAAGUUCAAGCUAGAAGAUUGUAAAGUGAUGAACACUUCAAUGCAUCCAACCUGCACCUUAAGCAAAGAAGAUACUGGAACAGUAGUAGACUAGAAGCUAUACAGAGGUAUGAUUGAUUCUCUGUUAUACCUCACUGCAUCUAGACCAGAUAUUUUAUUCGGUGUAUGCUUGUGUGCAAGAUUUCAAUCAGAUCCUAGAGAAUCUCAUUUAACUGCUGUUAAGAGAAUCUUCAGGUAUCUGAAGGGAACAACUAAUCUUGGACUCCUGUAUAGGAAAUCCCUAGAUUAUCUGUUGGUUGGAUUCUGUGAUGCUGAUUAUGCUGGUGACAUGAUUGAAAGAAAAUCAACCAAAGGAAAUUGUCAAUUCCUAGGAGAGAAUCUGAUAUCCUGGGCAAGCAAAAGACAAGCAACAAUUGCUAUGUCUACAGCAGAAGCAGAAUACAUUUCAGCUGCAAGUUGUUGUACACAACUACUUUGGAUGAAACAUCAGUUGGAAGAUUAUCAAAUUAAUGCUAACAGUAUUCCCAUCUUUUGUGAUAAUACUGCUGCUAUUUGUUUGUCAAAGAAUCCAAUUCUACAUUCAAGAGCCAAGCAUAUUGAGAUCAAACACCAUUUUAUCAGAGACUAUGUUCAAAAAGGAAUUUUAGAUAUACAAUUCAUUGAUACUGAGCAUCAAUGGGCUGAUAUAUUUACAAAGCCUUUAACUGUUGAAAGAUUUGAUUUUAUCAAGAAAAAUUUGAACAUGCACUUUGUGUCUGACUAAGAUUUGCUUGCCUCUGAAUAAGAAGUUUGGUUCUGAAGUUUAUUCAGAAUCUUUGGUCCAUCAGAAGCUCUUAACUGAGGUUCUGAGGAAAAUGUGCUUCUGAAGAUGACGUCAGCACUAAAACUUCAGAAGCUGUAUUCUUUACUUCUGAAUAGCAAGGCUAGUGGGAUCGUUGCAGUUACGUUUUAGUAACACCUGUCCCAUUAACCAAGGUUAUUAGUCUGAAAAGUUUCUGACGUGGUCUAUUUGUAUUGGAGUAUAACAAAAAGGGCAAUGAUGAAUUAUAUGCUUUUAAACGUACUAACACGCGCCCCCAAUUUGUCAUUAAUGCUUUGUGUGUUUGUCCCUUUUGAAUUGCAAACGUUUUUACUAAAAACACUUAGACAAACACACACUACUCACUUCACAACUCACACUUUAAUUUCUUCUCCAACCUUCUCUGCGAAGUAAUCAAAAACCCUAGAAACCCCUUUUCCUUCUCAAUCAAUCAAAUGGCUUCAUCUAGUUCUGCUCCUGGAUCAUCAUCUAACAAGCAACAACAAGAAGCUCCUGCCUACGAGAUUAAAGGAAGAACCAUGUCCUUGGAGGAAUGGGACUUGAGAAUCCAGACUGAAUGUCCGGUGGAUUUUAACUCAUUAGCUGCUCACAACUGCGACAUUGGCAAAUUCUACGACGCUCAAGGCUUAGGAAGCUACUUCAACUUUUUAAAUGGUACAACUUAUCAAACGUUGGUGCAUCAUUUCUGGGUCAGGGCCAGCAUAUAUGACAGAGAAGUUGCAAAGGUUGAAGAAGAUGAAAAAGUUCUUCUCAAUCUAGAAUUGGAAGGUAAAUGAAGAAAGGAAAUGAUAUUGGAACCGUUCUCUCAGACAGAAAUUAGGUCAAGCAUCAUGGGGAUUCCAGUUCGUAUUUCAGAGGAUGUCAUUGCUUUCGUUCUCAGAAGGCCAGUUACAGGAGAAUACAAAGCUGGUAUUACGAAAGUCAAGGAGAGCCCUUGGAAUGGAGUUGUAAAUCAGACCCUCUACAACAACCCAAUCAAGGGAACGUAUUCUGAUAUGAAUGCUCAAACCAAAGUGAUGCUGAAGAUUCAGAAUGAGAAUCUGCUAUCAAAAGGUGGUGGUAGUGAUCAGCCCUCUUUGGAGCACAAGAUUCUGCUUCACUUUUUCAUAACCGGUGUGAAGGCAAAUGUGCCCAGAUACAUUUUCAGGCACAUGGUACAACAACUCAGAGAGAGCAAGCUGAAGAAUAGGUGCUGGGUGCCCUAUGGGAGGCUUCUCUCUGAAAUCUUCCAUCAAUGAGGUAUUCUCAAACUUCUGAACGAAGUAGACUUCUUCACUGAUGAACAGCUUGGAACUGUUAGAGGAAAAAUCAUCAAUGCAGAAACUCUGAGGUCCAUGCAUCUGAUCAAAGCAAAGGAUCUUAAGAAGCUAAGCAUAGAUAUGACAGAAUCUGAUGCUAAAUUAGCCGUGAUUCCUAACUUUCCUCCUAUCUGCAAACAAGACCCUCUGGAUGUUCAUAUGCACUACUUCAGAUAGCACUUUGAAAGAACAAAUGUCAAAAUCAGUUUGAAGGAAGUGCCUGAACAAAUGUAUGGAGGAGCUCUUCCUGUUGCCAAGAGCAGGAAGACAAAGAGCAAAGCUUUAACCAAGGAAGAUGAUCUGGUAGAAGAAGCUACAAGAAAACCCUCCAAGAGAUCAAGAAAGGCUGAGAAAGAGACUGUUGCAGCACCUAAGCCUAAGAAAGGUAAAACUGUCAAAACUGAAAGUUCUACUGUUUCUGCUUCUGAGGAAGUCAUUCAAAAGAAAAGAAACAGAGAGCCAGAGGUUCAAGAUGCUGCUAGGGAAGCUGCUCUUCGUGAAGAUGCCACCAAAAGGGAAGCUGCUCUUCAAGCUAUCAGAAGCAAAAGAGCAAAGGGAGAGAGAAGCAUUCAGGAGCGUAUCAGGGAAGCUGCUGAACAGCUAAGAAAAGAAGAAGCUGAUCCUAGUUUGAAGAAGGCUCAGAAGCCUGUAUCCUUGGAAUCACCUUGCUUCAGACUCACCCCUGAGCAAGAAGAAAGGACCAGAGAAAUUGCUGCAAAUGGGUUAGCUAAAAGAAGGCAAAUGACUGAAAUCUACAAGAGGAACAGAGAUGAACAGCUCAAAGCAGCAGGGUAUGAGCUGGAUGCUGAGAAAGCUGCGGUAAUUGCUUCUUUGGCUGCUGAGAUUGAAGAAGAAACUGUUAGGGAAGGAGCUGCUUUGUUAAAGCAGGCUCUGAAAGCUAAGCAUGUCUCAGGAGCAACAUCUUCAGAACCAGCAUCAGAAGCUCCUAAAUCAGAAGCUACUAGGCCAGAAGCUCAUCCUUCAGGUAUUCCUUCUGUUCCGAAAGCUUCAGUCAAUAUUCAGACUCCUAUCCUUCCUUCUUCACCCUCAUCAUCAUCAUCAUCAUCAUCCACUAACUCAGAUGACAUUCCUUUGAGUCAGCACAUCAAACAAUGCCUACCAAACUUCAAACCUUCAACUUCAACCUUUCAAGAUGACUAUGAGCAGAUGCAAAUCCAUUUCUCUGAACAGAGGAUAAAAAUCUGUGAAAACUUGAAUUUGUCUGCUGAUCAUUUCUUUCAACCACCCUUAGUCGAACCUUUAAAUAUCCAACAUCCUGAAACAACCCCAACACCACAAAAAGCCUCUGAAGUUGCUCUAGAAGCAGCUACUUCAGAAGACCCCCAACAACAUGAAACCUCAACCCUUCACAACUUUGAAAAGCAUUUAGGAGGUGAAAUGCAACCAACCUCCACAAAGGCCUCUAAAACAGUCCCUGAAAAGACUGUCUUAGAAAACCAACCAGAAACAUCAACCGUCCCUGAGCAAAGUGUUCCUGAACAUACUGUUCCUGAAAAAGUUGUCUCUGACCUACCCCAACCCAACACAGAACAACAAACAGAAAAUCUUAACCAUUCACCAACUCAAAAUCAAACUAUCCCUGAGCAACAAACUACCUCUGACUAGCCUUCUUCAUCUCAUACAACCUCUAUUCCAGAACCUUCAACCAUUCCAGAACCAAUACCCAUCCCAAAUACCAUCCUUGAGUCUGAAUAUAUUGAUGAAGAGCUUCAAAGGAUGUGUGAUGAAAUUCAAGGACUUAUUCUUCUCAGAAAAGUUGCUUCACCUUCAAUUAACUACAUAGAUCAAUGGAUGAAUCUGAAAGCUGGUUUGAAGAGAGAUUUCGCUGAGUUGCUGGAACUACUUAGUGAAAAAUGCAUCACAACUCAUGAUGAAUUGCUGAAGAAGAAAUUGGAAGAACUUCACUCUGCUGAGGAAGAGAAAGAGCAAGACUCUGUGCUUCUACUAGCUAAUGCUCCUUUCUUUCCAGAAAGUGAUUAUAUCUCAAGAGGAGACAGAAUUCGUCAAGGGCUGAAAAGGAGGCUUUUAGCUAAGAAUGAAGAAGCUCAGAAGGCUAAGCAGAAAUCUGAUACUUUGGAAGAAGUAGUGAACAAGCAAGCAGAAGAACUCAAGAAUCAGUCUGAGCAGAUCAAAUACUUGAUGGAACAAGUAUCUAAACUAGCCAAACCAUAGUUGCACACCAAUUUUUUACUUGUUUAGAUUUUGUUCUAGUAUUAACUUGUUCUAAUUGUGUAUUUUAACUUGCUUAUCAUGUACAUUUCAUUGCUUCUGAAACAAUUGUUGUUAAUCAUUUAUUCUAAUUACCAUUUUUGCUCUGAUUAUGCUCUGAUACGUAUGUUCAUUACAGUUUUUCUUAUUUAUUGCACAAACUCUUUCUUUUGUUUUAUUUACUUUUUGUUGAUGACAAAAGGGGGAGUAGUUGUAUAGUAUUUUAAGGCCAUGAGCCCCAUUAAAUUAACUUGAUUAAGUUAACUUUUUUCUCUGAACCAUUUUUCUAAGCUUGGUAUUUUUUUAAUACUUCUGAAAUUUCAUUAUCUUGUGCGCAUUAUAUUGAAAUUUAAUUAACGAGUAUAGAACUUAGGGGGAGCUUACAAACCUCACCUUAAAGAUCUACUAGACUCAGGGGGAGCUUACAAACCUCUUACCUAGGAGUCAACUUGUUAAUUAGAUCAACAACAAUUGAACAUUUUAAAUAUUAUUGUUUGUCAUCAUCAAAAAGGGGGAGAUUGUUGGACCAAAAUGUGUUUCACAAUAAACCUUAAUAAGUUUUGAUGAUAACAAGGUAUUAAAAAUUGUCAAUUGGUUAUUGCUAAUGAUUGUUCAAGUGUACAGGACCAUAUGCAAAGUCACUCAAUUUCAAUAGGUCUUGGAAGAACAAUGGAGAGCAAAAGAAUCCUAAGCAUCUGAAGAAAACUGCGUCUAAAACCAAGAAGUGCUUCUGAAGUGACAAAGUGCCUCUGAAGAAAUGACGUCAUCAAAAGCAGAAGAUCAUCAGAAGCAGAAGACCAUCAGAAGCACAAUUUCAUCAGAAGCUAUAUCAUCACCAGAAGCUUCAAGUGAACAGUUAAUUUAAACUGAAGAUUCAAAGAAGCUGUUUUUCGUUUCAAUCUCGUCUAAGAGAACGAAGAAUUGAAAGGGAGAUAUCAACGGGCAUUUUAAAAGCACUGAGUAUUUGUCCUUCAUUAUCAGAGUUGACAAAGUACAAGUGUACAACCACUACCUCCACUACUCUGUUUUUGUCUACGCUACAAGACAAGACAACAGCCAUGCCUGCAGAAAUGUUCCUUCAAGAUGGGAAUGAAUUUGAAGUCGAUUCUUCAAAGGACUACACCCAAAUCAGGCAAAAGAUUACUGGUGGAUGAUCAAAGGAACUCAACGAAUCUUUAGACGUGCUAAAAAUCUCAACGUCUCUUUCACACCUCUAUAUAAAGGAGUGAGGACUUGAAGAUUGGCAAGAGACAUCAAUACAAGUUAAAAGCGCCAAAACUCUGCCAAAUUUGAUUCUACAAAGCACCUUGAAUUUCUGCACUGAUUUGAUACAUCUUAGAAAUUCACAAGUCUAGAGUCUUUAUUGCAUUGUAUUGAGAACACCACUGAUUGUAUAUCAAGUGUUCAUCAUCAAACAUUUUCUCUGUAUUUUUGUUUGAAUAGAAGCCUCUUGCCUGCGUGCUUGAGCAUUAGUAGACUCUUGCUUUAGAGCUUGAGCAUUGGAAGACUCUUGCCUGCAUGCUUGAGCAUUUUGAGAAGUCUCAUACUCAGAGAGUAUUGAGCAUUUGUAAUCUUUGUGAUUAUUAGUGAAAUCUCCUUGGAAGUGCAAGGGGGACUGGACUACUUCCGAUUUGUGGAAGGAACCAGGAUAAUUGCUUGUGUCUUUCUUUCUUUUCUCUACUAUGUAUUAUUCCGCUGCAUAUCUGAUUCUGAACAUUACAUCAGAAGCACUCCUAACCUGCUUCUGAAGUAUUAUCAGAAGAAGAAUUUUUAGAGAAAAAGAAAACACAAUUCAACCCCCCCUUCUUGUGUUUUUCUCACCUUCAUUAAUCUCUAAGCAAUUCUAAAUAUUUUUUAAGAGCUUACUCGUUCGCAAAAUGGGUACCCCAAGGGUACACCUUUGGAAGUCGCCUUCCUCAAAUUAUUAUCCAAACAAUGAAAUUCACCUAAAAGUAUUUGAAUUCGUUCAAAACAUUCCCCCAUCCAAACACACUCUUAAGAUUCAUAUACGAAGUUGGCGCCUUUAGAUGACAAUUUAGGAAUCUUAAUUCUUGUACGUUCUGGGCCGGCUAGACCAAGGAGCAUCAGACCAAGGCGAAUUGACCAAAGGAAUACACUAGCAACAUUGUAUCCUACCCUACUGGAGCACACCCCCGUGCAUCAGACAUCGUACGCAUGUUCUCCAACGGCCUUUUGAUGAGGGGUUGCAUCCCACGAAGACAGUUAUUCACACACGCCUAUAUAAGGGCGGCUUAACUUCAAUCCUGAGGUAUGAUUCAAUUUUCCCACACUUUUCACACAUUCCAUCUUAUUUUCCAUACUGACUUGAGCGUUGGAGUGUUAACGUGCCUGCAGGCACCUUUCGUCUCAUCGCCACCCUAUCAGAGCACUUUUCGCCAAUGUUGUCUCCAUCAGUUCCUCACCGAAUAAAUCAUUUUAUGUUUCAAUUACCUAUGCAAGAGUAAGGCCCCACUCUAGUACUCUAUGUGUAGGCAUACUAGAUCUUGUAGGAUUGACGACCCUGCACCUUUUAUAGCAGGUAUAACCUUGGAGUGAUCAGCAGGUGAACUCAACAGCUGAAGGGACAUACUUCCCCACUAACUCAUCACUUAAAUAGAAUAGUUGUAUUAUAAAAAUGUUGACUUGUCUUUAAUCCAACAAUAAAAAAUAGGGUAUUUUAAGAAUCCUAACCGCCGAUAACAUUCUACAAUUAAACCAGGUUAGUAACUUACUAAUGUUUUUCCCAAUCAAAAAAACUUGUAAAAGCCCCCUAAUUUAACACAUUUAUUUAUAUUUGUUGUUUUUAUUAUUUAUUCUAAAUAAGCAACACUAGUUGGCAAGUUGAAAUGACAAUUCCUAUGGAAAUGAUGAAAACUCAAACACACCUUGUUGAAAUAACAUGCUUCAUAUUUCAGUGUUGGAGUUGAAUUUGUAUGCGUUUUCUGAUGAGGAGAAAUAUAUA
This 14393-nucleotide long non-coding RNA is filed under the name Medicago truncatula (barrel medic). Its description in RNAcentral is "long non-coding RNA (MTRU_LNC000282)". The record is from RNAcentral. Lineage: Eukaryota; Viridiplantae; Streptophyta; Magnoliopsida; Fabales; Fabaceae.